GGGCAAUUCAUGAGGAGAAAUGGAUGAUUUUGGGUCCGAACGGGCAUUUUUGGGGACCAAAGAGGCAAUUUUGGGGACAAAAUGGGCAGAUUUGGGGCCAAAUGGGCGAUUUUGGGGCCAAAUGGGCAAUUCUUGAGGAGAAAUGGGCGAUUUUGGGGCCAAAUGGGGAGAUUUGGGGCCAAAUGGGUGAAUUCUGAAGGAAAGUAGGCAAUUUUGGGGCCAAAUGGACAUUUAUGGGGUCCAAAGAGGCAAUUUUGAGGGUAAAACGGGCGAUUUUGGGACCAAACGGGCAAUUUUUGAGGGAAAGCAGGCAAUUUUGGGGCCAGAUGGGCGAUUUUUGAGGAGAAAUGGGUGAUUUUGGGGCCAAAUGGGUGAUUUCCGAGGGAAAAGUGGCCAAUUUUGGGGCCAAAUGGGCCGAUUUGGGGCCAAAUGGGCGAUUUUGGGGCCAAGUGGGUGAUUUCUGAGGGAAAAUGGGCAAUUUUGGGGCCAAAUGGGCAGAUUUGGGGCCAAAUGGGCAAUUUUGGGACCAGAUUGGCGAUUUUUGAGGGGAAAUGGGUGAUUUUGGGGCCAAAUGGGCAUUUUUGGGGACGAAAGAGACAAUUUUGGGGGAUAAAAUGGGUGAUUUUGGGGCCAAAUGGGCAAUUUCUGGGGGAAAGCAGGCAAUUUUGGGGCCAGAUGGGCAGUUCUUGAGGUGAAAUGGUUGAUUUUGGGGGCAAAGAGGCAUUUUUGGGGACCAAAGAGACAAUUUUGGGGAUAAAACGGGCGAUUUGGGGGCCAAACGGGUGAUUUCUGAGGGAUGAGUGGGCAAUUUUGGGGCCAGAUGGGCGAUUUUUGAGGUGAAAUGGGUGAUUUUGGGGCCAAAUGGGGAGUUUUGGGGACCAAAGAGGCAAUUUUGAGGAUAAAACGGGCGAUUUUGGGGCCAAGUGGGUGAUUUCCGAGGGAAAAGUGGGCAAUUUUGGGGCCAAAUGGGCAGAUCUGGGGCCAAGAGGGCCCCU
Oxyura jamaicensis (ruddy duck) is the source of this 995-nucleotide long non-coding RNA. RefSeq lists it as uncharacterized. NCBI's taxonomy places the organism in Eukaryota, Metazoa, Chordata, Aves, Anseriformes, Anatidae. The record is from RefSeq and is a predicted model, not a curated record. The transcript is spliced from 5 exons.